Molecule: small RNA, 1019 nt
Filed under: Pongo abelii (Sumatran orangutan)
Lineage: Eukaryota; Metazoa; Chordata; Mammalia; Primates; Hominidae
Description: retained intron
Source: RNAcentral
GACAAACGAGGGUUCCCGGGAUCGGACCGACACAGCCAUGCCUCUGCGACUUGAUAUCAAAAGAAAGCUAACUGCUAGAUCUGAUCGAGUUAAGAGUGUGGAUCUGCAUCCUACAGAGCCAUGGAUGUUGGCAAGUCUUUACAAUGGCAGUGUGUGUGUUUGGAAUCAUGAAACACAGACACUGGUGAAGACAUUUGAAGUAUGUGAUCUUCCUGUUCGAGCUGCAAAGUUUGUUGCAAGGAAGAAUUGGGUUGUGACAGGAGCGGAUGACAUGCAGAUUAGAGUGUUCAAUUACAAUACUCUGGAGAGAGUUCAUAUGUUUGAAGCACACUCAGACUACAUUCGCUGUAUUGCUGUUCAUCCAACCCAGCCUUUCAUUCUAACUAGCAGUGAUGACAUGCUUAUUAAGCUCUGGGACUGGGAUAAAAAAUGGUCUUGCUCACAAGUGUUUGAAGGACACACCCAUUAUGUUAUGCAGAUUGUGAUCAACCCCAAAGAUAACAAUCAGUUUGCCAGUGCCUCUUUGGACAGGACUAUCAAGGUGUGGCAGUUGGGCUCUUCGUCACCAAACUUCACUUUGGAAGGACAUGAGAAAGGCGUGAAUUGCAUUGAUUACUACAGUGGUGGGGACAAGCCAUACCUCAUUUCAGGUGCAGAUGACCGUCUUGUUAAAAUAUGGGAUUAUCAGAAUAAAACAUGUGUGCAGACACUGGAAGGACAUGCCCAAAAUGUGUCUUGUGCCAGCUUUCAUCCUGAGUUGCCAAUCAUUAUCACAGGUUCAGAAGAUGGUAAGUUAGAAGGGUAUGUUUAUUCCUAUGCUGGUAACUACUCAGUGGGCAUUUAAAGCAAGUAAUGUCUCUGCAUUAUAAUUGGAGGUUUCCAAGGAUUUUGAUAUUUUUAUUAAAGUACCAGACUUAAGCUAUAAAAGAGUAAAGGGGCAUUAUUUUCAUCAUCAUCAUCAUCAUUAUUCUCAUGUAUUUUGAUUCUGUCACUUAAAUAAGAGGACUGUCAGCUGUCCU